CUCAGAUUGAACGCUGGCGGCAUGCCUUACACAUGCAAGUCGAACGGUAACAGGCCUUCGGGCGCUGACGAGUGGCGAACGGGUGAGUAACGCAUCGGAACGUGCCCAGUCGUGGGGGAUAACGCAGCGAAAGCUGUGCUAAUACCGCAUACGAUCUGCGGAUGAAAGCGGGGGACCUUAGGGCCUCGCGCGAUUGGAGCGGCCGAUGUCAGAUUAGGUAGUUGGUGGGGUAAAGGCCCACCAAGCCAACGAUCUGUAGCUGGUCUGAGAGGACGACCAGCCACACUGGGACUGAGACACGGCCCAGACUCCUACGGGAGGCAGCAGUGGGGAAUUUUGGACAAUGGGCGCAAGCCUGAUCCAGCAAUGCCGCGUGCAGGAAGAAGGCCUUCGGGUUGUAAACUGCUUUUGUACGGAACGAAAAAGUCCGGGUUAAUACCCUGGGCCCAUGACGGUACCGUAAGAAUAAGCACCGGCUAACUACGUG
RNAcentral lists this ribosomal RNA (487 nucleotides) under uncultured bacterium. Its description in RNAcentral is "bacterial SSU rRNA". It matches the Rfam family "Bacterial small subunit ribosomal RNA", at positions 23 to 507 of the family's 1533-position model. The record is from RNAcentral.